RNAcentral lists this ribosomal RNA (407 nucleotides) under uncultured bacterium. RNAcentral describes it as "partial 16S ribosomal RNA". It matches the Rfam family "Bacterial small subunit ribosomal RNA", at positions 28 to 526 of the family's 1533-position model. The record is from RNAcentral.
GUUGAACGCUGGCGGCAUGCCUAACACAUGCAAGUCGAGCGGCGCGUCGAACGAGGAAGUACUGCCUAGUGAUCUGCCUGUUGGUGGGGUAUAACGUCCGGGGACGUGCCCUAAUACCGCAUCAUAGCAGGUCGCCUUAGGUUGGAUUAGCUAGUUGGUGGGGUAAUGGCCUACCAAGUCGACGAUCCGUAACUGGUCUGAGAGGAUGAUCAGUCACACUGGAACUGAGACACGGUCCAGAUUCCUACGGGAGGCAGCAGUGGGGAAUAUUGGAAAAUGGGCGAAAGUCUGAUCGAGCAACGCCGCGUGUGUGAAGAAGGUCUUCGGAUUGUAAAGCACUGUAAGUAGGGAGGCGGUACCAAAAGAAUAAGCACCGGCUAACUGCGUGCCAGCCGCCGCGGUAAUAC